UUGGCCCUACGGGAGGCAGCAGUGAGGAAUAUUGGUCAAUGGGCGCGAGCCUGAACCAGCCACGUCGCGUGAGGGAUGACGGCCCUACGGGUUGUAAACCUCUUUUGCCGGGGAGCAACGGGCGCCACGUGUGGCGCCACUGAGAGUACCCGGAGAAAAAGCAUCGGCUAACUCCGUGCCAGCAGCCGCGGUAAUACGGAGGAUGCGAGCGUUAUCCGGAUUUAUUGGGUUUAAAGGGUGCGCAGGCGGAUUUUUAAGUCAGCGGUCAAAUCGUGGGGCUCAACCCCAUCCAGCCGUUGAAACUG
Molecule: ribosomal RNA, 305 nt
Filed under: uncultured bacterium
Lineage: Bacteria
Description: bacterial SSU rRNA
Rfam family: Bacterial small subunit ribosomal RNA
Source: RNAcentral